This 348-nucleotide ribosomal RNA is filed under the name Triticum aestivum (bread wheat). RNAcentral's name for it is "partial small subunit ribosomal RNA". The record is from RNAcentral. Lineage: Eukaryota; Viridiplantae; Streptophyta; Magnoliopsida; Poales; Poaceae.
AUGGGAGAAAUAGUCUACAAAUUGGAACUGCCCGAAGGAUCGUCAGGAGUUCAUGAUGUAUUCCAAGUUUCCCAGUUGAAGAAGUGCCACGCGGAGAUGGCUGAUAUACCGCUGAGAGAUACAGUGCCGCUGGAAGCGAUUCAGUUGGACAGUGAUUUGACCUAUGAGGAGAAACCAGUUAAGAUUCUUGAGUACGCUAGCCGAAUCACCCGCAGCAAGGUUAUCAAGUUUUGCAAAGUUCAGUGGAGCCACCACACAAAUGAUCCUAGAAAUUCUACGCAACUCAAGGACCCACGGAGAGAGUUGGGGAUUAUGUUAUUUUCAUAUUUGAGUUUUCUCAAAUUUUGA